CGUUAUGGUGGGCACUCUAAGGAGACUGCCGGUGACAAACCGGAGGAAGGUGGGAUGACGUCAAGUCAUCCAUGGCCCUUACGGCCUGGGCUACACACGUGCUACAAUGGUCGGUACAAAGGGUUGCCAAGCCGCGAGGUGGAGCUAAUCCCAUAAAACCGAUCGUAGUCCGGAUCGCAGUCUGCAACUCGACUGCGUGAAGUCGGAAUCGCUAGUAAUCGUGAAUCAGAAUGUCACGGUGAAUACGUUCCCGGGCCUU
Molecule: ribosomal RNA, 259 nt
Filed under: uncultured Pseudomonas sp.
Lineage: Bacteria; Pseudomonadati; Pseudomonadota; Gammaproteobacteria; Pseudomonadales; Pseudomonadaceae
Description: partial 16S ribosomal RNA
Rfam family: Bacterial small subunit ribosomal RNA
Source: RNAcentral